AGUCCGCUUCCCAGCCCUACCGCGCUCCUUCCUCCGAGCAUUGCUCGCGUGCGAGUAUUCUGUCUUCGGACGGUGGAAAUAGGAAAAGCUAGAAAGAAGGAAGAAGAAAGAGAGAUGGCGAGCAACGGCAGCAGCUCAUCUCCCAAACCCAACCCUAAAAAAGCUAAUUUGAUGGAUCCUCAUUCCAUCAAACACCUUCUCGACGAAUCCGUCUCCGAGAUCGUCACCGGCCGAGGAUACACCGAAGACGUGCGUCUGAGCAACAUCAGAUUGCUUGUGGGAACGGUCAUCAUCGCCAUUGCUCUCGUCGCGCAGUUCUACCGUAAGAAGUUCUCGGAAAACAAAGAUUUCCUCAUCGGAUGCAUCGCAUUGUAUAUCGUCUUCAACGGAUUGUUGCAGUUGAUCAUCUACAAAAAGGAGAAGAAUGCAAUCCUUUUCACUUAUCCUCUUCCAGGAUCAUUCAACAGCACUGGACUGGUAGUAUCUUCCAAGCUGCCAAGAUUCUCUGACUUGUAUACACUGUCUGUUGCAAGCGCAGAUCCAAAAUCUGUUUCUGGCAAUAAAGCAGUCCAUUUCACAAAGAGUGUUACCAAGUGGUUUACUUGUGAUGGGAUUCUGGUGGAAGGUCUGUUCUGGAAGGAUGUUAGCAAACUGAUUGAUGAUUAUAGUGGAGAUUCUCGAAGGAAUAAAUGAACUCAAACAGGACGAAUUGAUAUGACAUGACACGUCAAGAUAAGAUUGCUGAUUUUGAGAUGAAGCUCAUGGACAUUGACAACGAGCAUCUUGGAAUUCCAGAAGCAGAGUAUCAUGCCAUUGUAAAGAUGCCAUCAGGUGGUCAUGGAAAACAGGACCAUGAUUUUUCAGGCUCAACCGAGUCUUAAAACCAUGAUGCUUGACGGCCAUAAAAACCAUGGUGAAGUUGGAUAAAGCACUGGUAGAACCAGGUGGUGGGUAUUGUCUCUGCAGCAAUGCAAUGGUGUAGGUGAUGUGUGGGUGUUGCAAUGUCAAUGCGGUGGAUGGGGUCUGGCCUUGGUGAAGUUAUUAUUAUUUUAUUUAUUUAACGUGUUCUUGUAAGUGAUUUAACCCAUGAAAUGAAGUGGGUUGAUGGGCAUGCAUUAUGCCACAUGAUCGGCCGGGGAAUGGAAUAAGGCCAUUUCUCAGUAGUGGUACAAUAUAGGCCCCGGCUGGCCUUUUUAUUUCUUGGGCCUGAUCAAGUGCUCAGAUCGAGAUUGGCCCACUCACAGAACUGAUGAAAUGCAUAUGCAUUUGGUAUUAUGCCAUUUCAGAGUGCAUCUUACAGUGUUCUGUUUUCAGGGAUGCAUUGGGAUCACUGUAGAUGAAUCACCCUUUGAUAUUUGGCCUC
Molecule: RNA transcript, 1363 nt
Organism: Magnolia sinica
Lineage: Eukaryota; Viridiplantae; Streptophyta; Magnoliopsida; Magnoliales; Magnoliaceae
Gene name: signal peptidase complex subunit 2-like
Exons: 8
Source: RefSeq, a predicted model, not a curated record